GGUUGCUGGAGGGAAGAAGCCUCUCAGUGAGGGGGUCUGCACCACAGGCCACUCUCCUGGGUCUAGGCCACCUUUCAAAGGGAGUUUCUGGGUCCACGUUCCAGGCGUUUGACUGUCCCUGGCCCUUCACUUGAGCCCCUCAGGCUGCAACUCAGAGCCUUGCACCCCAGGGAAGCUGUUCCCAGGAAAGAGAGCAGGGCCCAGGGAGAGGGAGGGUUCAGAAAAGGCACCUGUUUCCAAUGUUAAUGGAAACAACCUGAAUUUCAGAAUCAAUCAGAUCUGGAUUCGAAUCUCAGGUCCUCCCCCUGUGAGCUGUGUCACCUCGGGAAAGUCCUUUACCCUCCCUGUGGGUACCUCACUGUCCUCAUCAGUAACAUGGGGCCAAUGAUGCCCUCCCUGCAGGGGCGUGGAGGGGAGUCACUGUCAGUCAUGACCGUGGAGAAGAAGGCCCCCCACUCUGAGCCUAGGGCUGUCAGCUCUGGGGACUGUCUGCCCGGCUGCCUGCGCAUUGCUGCGUCUUCCUGCUUUCGUGUGUAUGUGUUCAUUUGGCAGUGAGCUGUCUGAUUGAAAUCAGCCGUGGUUGCAUGCCCCCUACCUAAUGCACCCAAACAGACAGGAGGUGUGCUGUGGCCCAAGGACCGUGGCCAGCACCGUAAGGGGUUGAAGCCAGUCCGCAGAUCCUGGGGGCAAGAGACGAAGAUGGGAGGGGCAUGGCCGCCAGAGCUGGAGGGGCCAAGGCUGAGUCUUAGGGAGAGGGAGGUGGGGGAGGGUAGGUGGCACAGAAAAAGCGAAAGAAAAUCUAGAAAGAGAGGGAAGAAAGGAGGAGAGUUCAAGGCAAAAUGGGAAGUCUCUCCAGGUGGCCGGUGUCCCCCCUCUGCGGCUGUUCAAGGUUCCCCAGCAGCACCUGGGCAAGGCAUCCCAAGCUGAGGGAGUGUCCCUGCACCAGUCCCCUUCCUUCUCUGGGCCUCAGCUUCUGCCUCCAGAAGAUCAGAGGAAGCUGGAUUCCUUCUCUCAGCUACCAUCCCUCCCCUCCCAGGCCCACCGGCUGUCUGGAGGGUGGGAGCUGUGAGGGUGCAGAGGAGCUCGUGGGCGCGCCAGCCAAGGGAUGCUGGGGGGUGCGGUACGGGGGUGGGCAGGCUGAGACAGAACACUGAGCCUCCGGGAGGAAGGAGUCAGAGAAAUUACCGGCAAUGAAACCUAUAGGUUUCCCCAAAGUACCGUUUGAAUAGAAAUGUCAAAUGCACCUGGAGUUGUUAUACCCUGUAAUCCUAAUGACAUAUAAUCCUAUAUACCAACUUGAUAAUAUCAUGGAGCGCGUAUGUUAAUCCUGCCUUCCUCCUGGGGAUGAGCUUUCUCCUCCCAGCAGAGCCUACAAAGCCUUCUUUGUUCUCCCCAGAGGUGGCCUCAUCCAGGCUGAGCCUGGGGAAGUGACAGUGGAAGGACCAAAGAGCUCCCAGAAGAGAGCUGUCAUUUCAUUAGGAAGGGAAUAGACAGUUGUCAUCUGGUGCUUUCAUUUGUGCCUAAUCUGGGUGUAACCUGAGUCCCCUGGGAGUUGCUGAGCCCUCCCCCCCCCCCAUCAUCAGACUCUGUUCUGGACUCUGUCUCCUCUCCCACCCUCCCUCUCUAUCCUUUUCCUAUCCUCUUAUGCCUCCUUUCCCACUUCCCUCCCUUCUUUUUUUCCCAGCAUCGCAGGACACCCUCAGACACUGUUCUUUCCUUCGAGAGCCCCCAGGGACUAGUGUACACUAAUCCUGUGGGACGGUGUUCCCUCGCUGCAGGGCCUGGGCGGGGGGAGAGAGAACAGACCAUCGCAGGAGGUGGGAGCAGCACGGCUAGUGGUCUGUGGGCAGGGGGCUUUCAGGACAGGGGACAGAACAUCAGGCCAGUGCACCCCUCAAGAUGCACCCUGGACUUGUCUUCCCAGCGGUCCAGCCCAUGCCCGUCCCCAGGACAUAAAGCUGCCUUUGCUUUCAGAGCAGGAAAUCUCCUUUUGGGCUCCUCUUAAGAAGGUGGGAUUUUUAAGGUCCAAGUUGCAGUCACCCACACAAUCCAGGAAUCCCAUCCCAAACCCCACGCUCCUGUGCUCAGCCUUCCAGGGCUGUGGUUCUGGAAGUGUGGUCCCUGGGCCAGCAGCUUCAGUGACACCUGAGAUCUUAUUAGAAACGCACAUUCUUGGUCCCAGCACCCAGCACCAAGGGCGUGCUGAGAUGGUUUGCGUCACCUUGGGAGAACGAAAAUGUGCACAUCUGCUCCCCAGCUCCACCUUUAGUGACAGUCGCCUUGGGGUCUUGGAAUCAGCUGCGGUGGGAAUAUUUACACCAUGGAAACUGGCAAACGUUACAAAUCAGUGCCUAUUUUCUUUUCAGAGAGCAGCUUCCAGCACACCACUGGGCCCCAUCCAGACCUAUUGAAUCAGAAACUCUGGAGGUGGGGUCCAGCAAUCUGGGUUUAAGUAAGCUUUCCAGGUGAUUCUGAUGCACACUCCAGUUUGAGAAGGACUCAGUGGGUCAGUGCUGGUGGAAUCAUGAAUCUCAGGGCUGAGAUAGAAAAGGGAGAUGUGGUGGCCAAGGAGUAGGGAGGGUUUCACGAGGAAACUUUGAGAAAGGUAAAGAAAGGACAGAGAAAGUGAACCAGACCCUGGGCCUCCCCUCCAGGCAGAGGGGCAGCAGGCGUCUGGCAGGAAGCCCUCCUGGGCAGAGGUGAGACUCCAGCCCAGGGACUGGGCUAAGGUGCCGAGGAGGCUGGGUGAAGCCUGCUUGGAUUGUACCUGUUUCUCCAGGUAUCCGGGUGACGGAGCCAUGCGUGAGAUCAGGAGGGCACAGAAUAAGUGGCUGGAAAAAUGUCCCUUUUGAUGAUAUUUCCAAAACAACAACAACAAAAGCACACAAGCAUUUUGUUAGAGGUAUAAGGAAGGGAAAUCUUGAAAGUUUUCUUUCAAGGACAAGAUGCAAAUGGAAAAUCACAGUACCAUACCCAUUACUGCUCAUGUAAAUGGGGGCAAAAUGCCACGGGAAUUUUCUUUGUUCAAUUUUGAAAUAUUUCAAACAUACAGAAAAAUACAAGGGGGUAAUAUAACGAAAGUCUUGCACCCACUCCCAGAAAUAGCAAAUGUUAACAUUUUGCCACAUUCAUAUCAGAUCAGUUAAAAAUAAAUAAAUGAGUAAACAAACCAACAAACAAAAACCUUACAGACAUGGCAGAGUCCCCUUUGCACCCUUUUUCCUCCUUCAAAAACAUGGCGACUGUCCUGAAAUUGAUGGAUUUUCUUUUCAUACAUGUCUUCCUACUUUACUACAUAUGAAUAACUCAUAAAUUACACCUUGCCAUGCUUUGAGUGCUUCUUAAUUCACAUAAGUGGUGUUACACUGAACUAUCAUUCUGGAACUUGCUUUUUUUCCACCUAACAUUAUGUUUCCAAGCGCUAUUCAUGCUAAUGGGUGGAGACCUAGCUCAUUCAUUUUAAUUGAUGAAUAACAUUAAACUGUACAAAUAGACCACAAUUCAUCUGCUCACCUACUUAUGGACAUUUAAGUUGUUUCCAAUUUUUCACUGUCACAAAUGAUUCUGCAGUGAACAUCCUUGAACUUGUUCUCUAGGGUAUAUUCCUAGAAGUGGUGCUGCCGCCCUUGGGAGAGUGCAUUCCCAGUGAUACUCACGUUGCUGAAUUGCUCACUAGCUUGGCUGACAGGUGGCUUGCUUCGUGCUGGAGGAUUCAUGCUGGAGGACAGGAGGCUUACCCCUGCGCCAAGCAGGUCCCAUCGGAGUCCUCACCUUUGAGCCCCGCCCACCAGCCAAUGAGGACUCGCGGAGGUGAUGUCACUACAUCCCGUUUCCCAGCCCUGCCGGGAGGAUGGGACCAGCUGGGGAAAAGAGCCAAUAUCAGAUUCAAAAUAUUCCUAUGAUGACGCCCCUGUCACUCACUUGCAUUCUGAUAUGCCUCCCUGUCUGGAAGAAGAAGGAUUGGAGUUACAGCCGCCAGCCAGGGAUUGCCUGUAGCCCUGAGCCAAUGGGCAGUGUGUCACGGACAUGUGAGUGUCAUCCGUCACCUGCAACAUGGCAUUUGACCUUGACUGAUGGAGACCCUUGACACAUGGUCAGACAUCAAGUCACUGGAGACCCAAGCCCUGGGACAAUCUGACCCAGAUUGUGUACUGCUGCCAGCAUCCCAUGAUCCAGCUGAAAGCCAAUAAAGAAAGAAGUGUUGAAG
Long non-coding RNA from Orcinus orca (killer whale), 4207 nucleotides. RefSeq lists it as uncharacterized. NCBI's taxonomy places the organism in Eukaryota, Metazoa, Chordata, Mammalia, Artiodactyla, Delphinidae. The transcript has 3 exons. The record is from RefSeq and is a predicted model, not a curated record.